AACGCACAUUGCGCCUUCUGGUAUUCCGGUAGGCAUGUCUGUUUGAGCGUCAGCAAACCCCCUCAGCUGAGUGUCUUUGUGCACUCACGCUGGUCUUGGGCUCUGGAUGCUGGGUUAACCCCCCGCGCCUGCCCUAAACUUGCUGCACGACCGCUGGCUUCGGCUGGGUCAAUGGAGUGGUGUCACAAUCUUCCAGAAGGCCUUCAACUGUAGCGCGGUGGCGUUAAACUUGCUGUCCGAAAGGACCGAAAUUUUGACCUCAGAUCAGAUAAGGAUACCCGCUGAACUUAA
This 291-nucleotide unclassified non-coding RNA is filed under the name uncultured Orbiliaceae. RNAcentral describes it as "sequence contains ITS2". The stretch from base 1 to 52 matches the Rfam family "5.8S ribosomal RNA", at positions 103 to 154 of the family's 154-position model. The record is from RNAcentral. Lineage: Eukaryota; Fungi; Ascomycota; Orbiliomycetes; Orbiliales.